This 280-nucleotide ribosomal RNA is filed under the name uncultured bacterium. RNAcentral's name for it is "partial 16S ribosomal RNA". It matches the Rfam family "Bacterial small subunit ribosomal RNA", at positions 29 to 338 of the family's 1533-position model. The record is from RNAcentral.
AACGAACGCUGGCGGCAGGCUUAACACAUGCAAGUCGAGCGCCCCGCAAGGGGAGCGGCAGACGGGUGAGUAACGCGUGGGAAUCUACCUUUUGCUACGGAAUAACUCAGGGAAACUUGUGCUAAUACCGUAUGUGCCCUUCGGGGGAAAGAUUUAUCGGCAAAGGAUGAGCCCGCGUUGGAUUAGCUAGUUGGUGGGGUAAAGGCCCACCAAGGCGACGAUCCAUAGCUGGUCUGAGAGGAUGAUCAGCCACACUGGGACUGAGACACGGCCCAGACUC